This 600-nucleotide ribosomal RNA is filed under the name uncultured bacterium. Its description in RNAcentral is "bacterial SSU rRNA". It matches the Rfam family "Bacterial small subunit ribosomal RNA", at positions 93 to 691 of the family's 1533-position model. The record is from RNAcentral.
GAGUGGCGCACGGGUGCGUAACACGUAUAGAUCUACCUCUAACUGGGGAUAGCUCACCGAAAGGUGAAUUAAUACCGCAUAAUAUUGUGAAGUAGCAUUACUUUACACUUAAACCUACGGGGGUUAGAGAUGAGCAUGCGUUCGAUUAGCUAGUUGGCGAGGUAACGGCUCACCAAGGCAACGAUCGAUAGGGGGUCUGAAGGAUGAUCCCCCACACUGGUACUGAACACGGACCAACUCCUACGGGAGGCAGCAGUAAGGAAUAUUGGACAAUGGGGGCAACCCUGAUCCAGCCAUGCCGCGUGAAGGAUUAAGGCCCUAUGGGUCGUAAACUUCUUUUAUACGGGACAAAACCCCUCUACGUGUAGAGGGUUGAUGGUACUGUAAGAAUAAGGGUCGGCUAACUUCGUGCCAGCAGCCGCGGUAAUACGAAGGACCCGAGCGUUAUCCGGAUUUAUUGGGUUUAAAGGGUGCGUAGCGGACUUUAUAAAGUCAGUGGUGAAAGCCCAGCUUAACUUGGGGAACUGCCAUUGAAAACUAUUUGGUCUUGAAGUUACAUUUGAGGCGGGCGGAAUGUGUCCUUGUAAAGGGUGAAUUUCU